This 253-nucleotide ribosomal RNA is filed under the name uncultured bacterium. Its description in RNAcentral is "partial 16S ribosomal RNA". It matches the Rfam family "Bacterial small subunit ribosomal RNA", at positions 524 to 776 of the family's 1533-position model. The record is from RNAcentral.
UACGUAGGAGGCAAGCGUUAUCCGGAUUUACUGGGUGUAAAGGGAGCGCAGACGGCAGUGCAAGUCUGGAGUGAAAGCCCGGGGCCCAACCCCGGAACUGCUCUGGAAACUGUGCGGCUAGAGAGUAGUUGCGGUAGGCGGAAUGUAUGGUGUAGCGGUGAAAUGCUUAGAGAUCAUACAGAACACCGAUUGCGAAGGCAGCUUACCAAGCUACUUCUGACGUUGAGGCACGAAAGCGUGGGGAGCAAACAGG